RNAcentral lists this ribosomal RNA (207 nucleotides) under Triticum aestivum (bread wheat). RNAcentral describes it as "partial small subunit ribosomal RNA". The record is from RNAcentral. Lineage: Eukaryota; Viridiplantae; Streptophyta; Magnoliopsida; Poales; Poaceae.
AUGAUCAAGGGCGAGGGCGAGAAGCAGCCCUGGGACGGCGACGACGACUCCGCGGUGCCGAGGUACAACCGCCGCAUGGAGAUGCCUGCUGACGUGUACAAGAUAAACAAGAUCAAGGCCGAGAUGAAGAAUGGCAUCCUCUGGGUGACCCUGCUCAAGGUGGAGGAGGAGGAGCGCAAGAGCGUCUUCCACGUGAAGGUCGAGUAG